AUGUUCAGUGUUGUGGUUCUUACUGGAUUUUGGUACUUUAUACGGUCUAUUGGUGUUGGCCAAUGGUCUUUUGUGAACUCCCUGUGACUUCCAAAAGCUCCUUAUUGAAGGUAAUUCUUUAAUUUAUUCGUAAUCCAAUGAAGGUGUCGUCGUGAGAAUUUCUUACAUCUUAAAAUGCCAUAGCAGUUUUCGAGAAUUGUAUUCCGUCAUUAGAACUUUUAUCUGCUUUCCCCUCCCCCUCAAAAUCUUAGUUUUCAAUUGUUCCAUUGGUGGUGCCUCCUCUGCAUCAUAUCUUUCUUCUAUCCCAUGAGCAAUGGUUCAGGAUUC
Molecule: long non-coding RNA, 327 nt
Filed under: Rosa chinensis
Lineage: Eukaryota; Viridiplantae; Streptophyta; Magnoliopsida; Rosales; Rosaceae
Description: sRNA RchiOBHm_Chr5g0070011
Source: RNAcentral